This is a long non-coding RNA of Sander lucioperca (pikeperch), 111 nucleotides long. RefSeq lists it as uncharacterized. The transcript is spliced from 3 exons. The record is from RefSeq and is a predicted model, not a curated record. Lineage: Eukaryota; Metazoa; Chordata; Actinopteri; Perciformes; Percidae.
GACCAACAAUUCCAGUAAUUCCCCCAAGAGCAAGCAUUCAGUGUGACAGUGAAGGACGGCCAUCAAACGAUCCCACUGCCUUCACCAGUUUUAGAAGCUCUUGGUUCCAAA